CCUACGGGAGGCAGUGGGGAAUAUUGUGCAAUGGGCGCAAGCCUGACGCAGCAACGCCGCGUGGAGGAAGAAGGCUGUCGGGUUGUAAACUUCUCUUAUCAGGGACGAAGCAAGUGACGGUAACUGAGGAAUAAGCCAGGGCUAACUACGUGCCGGCAGCCGCGGUAAUACGGAGGUGGCAGGCGUUAUCCGGAUUUACUGUGUGUAAAGGGGGUGUAGGCGGGACAGCAAGUCAGACGUGAAAACUUUGGGCUCAACCCAUAGCCUGCAUUUGAAACUGUACUUCUUGAGUGCGGGAGAGGCAGGCGGAAUUCGGGGUGUAGCGGUGAAAUGCGUAGAUAUACGGAGGAACACCCGUGGCGAAGGCGGACUGCUGGACAGUAACUGACGCUGAAGCGCGAAAGCGUGGGGAGCAAACAGGAUUAGAUACCCGGGUAGUC
RNAcentral lists this ribosomal RNA (440 nucleotides) under uncultured bacterium. RNAcentral's name for it is "partial 16S ribosomal RNA". It matches the Rfam family "Bacterial small subunit ribosomal RNA", at positions 338 to 795 of the family's 1533-position model. The record is from RNAcentral.